Molecule: ribosomal RNA, 373 nt
Filed under: uncultured bacterium
Lineage: Bacteria
Description: bacterial SSU rRNA
Rfam family: Bacterial small subunit ribosomal RNA
Source: RNAcentral
GACGAACGCUGGCGGCGUGCUUAACACAUGCAAGUCGAACGGUGAACCGGGCUUCGGCCCGGGGAUCAGUGGCGAACGGGUGCGUAACACGUGGGCAACCUGCCCCAGACACUGGGAUAACUCCGGGAAACCGGGGCUAAUACCGGAUACUCUCAGCCGACCGCAUGACCGGCUGAGGAAAGCUCCGGCGGUCUGGGAUGGGCCCGCGGCCUAUCAGCUUGUUGGUGGGGUAACGGCCUACCAAGGCGACGACGGGUAGCUGGUCUGAGAGGACGGCCAGCCACACUGGGACUGAGACACGGCCCAGACUCCUACGGGAGGCAGCAGUGGGGAAUCUUGCACAAUGGGCGCAAGCCUGAUGCAGCGACGCCGC